UGCCACAGCCAUAUCACCCUGCAGCCCAAGACUGCCCACUGAAGCUAAGCAGGGUUGAGCCUGGUCAGUACCUGGAUGGGAGACCUCCUGGGAAAACUAGGUUGCUGCUGGAA
Sinocyclocheilus anshuiensis is the source of this 113-nucleotide ribosomal RNA. Lineage: Eukaryota; Metazoa; Chordata; Actinopteri; Cypriniformes; Cyprinidae. The record is from Ensembl.